AGAGUUUGAUCAUGGCUCAGAUUGAACGCUGGCGGCAGGCCUAACACAUGCAAGUCGAACGGUAACAGGAAGCAGCUUGCUGCUUCGCUGACGAGUGGCGGACGGGUGAGUAAUGUCUGGGAAACUGCCUGAUGGAGGGGGAUAACUACUGGAAACGGUGGCUAAUACCGCAUAACGUCGCAAGACCAAAGAGGGGGACCUUCGGGCCUCUUGCCAUCAGAUGUGCCCAGAUGGGAUUAGCUUGUUGGUGAGGUAACGGCUCACCAAGGCGACGAUCCCUAGCUGGUCUGAGAGGAUGACCAGCCACACUGGAACUGAGACACGGUCCAGACUCCUACGGGAGGCAGCAGUGGGGAAUAUUGCACAAUGGGCGCAAGCCUGAUGCAGCCAUGCCGCGUGUAUGAAGAAGGCCUUCGGGUUGUAAAGUACUUUCAGCGGGGAGGAAGGUGUUGUGGUUAAUAACCACAGCAAUUGACGUUACCCGCAGAAGAAGCACCGGCUAACUCCGUGCCAGCAGCCGCGGUAAUACGGAGGGUGCAAGCGUUAAUCGGAAUUACUGGGCGUAAAGCGCACGCAGGCGGUCUGUCAAGUCGGAUGUGAAAUCCCCGGGCUCAACCUGGGAACUGCAUUCGAAACUGGCAGGCUUGAGUCUUGUAGAGGGGGGUAGAAUUCCAGGUGUAGCGGUGAAAUGCGUAGAGAUCUGGAGGAAUACCGGUGGCGAAGGCGGCCCCCUGGACAAAGACUGACGCUCAGGUGCGAAAGCGUGGGGAGCAAACAGGAUUAGAUACCCUGGUAGUCCACGCCGUAAACGAUGUCUACUUGGAGGUUGUGCCCUUGAGGCGUGGCUUCCGGAGCUAACGCGUUAAGUAGACCGCCUGGGGAGUACGGCCGCAAGGUUAAAACUCAAAUGAAUUGACGGGGGCCCGCACAAGCGGUGGAGCAUGUGGUUUAAUUCGAUGCAACGCGAAGAACCUUACCUGGUCUUGACAUCCACGGAAGUUUUCAGAGAUGAGAAUGUGCCUUCGGGAACCGUGAGACAGGUGCUGCAUGGCUGUCGUCAGCUCGUGUUGUGAAAUGUUGGGUUAAGUCCCGCAACGAGCGCAACCCUUAUCCUUUGUUGCCAGCGGUCCGGCCGGGAACUCAAAGGAGACUGCCAGUGAUAAACUGGAGGAAGGUGGGGAUGACGUCAAGUCAUCAUGGCCCUUACGACCAGGGCUACACACGUGCUACAAUGGCGCAUACAAAGAGAAGCGACCUCGCGAGAGCAAGCGGACCUCAUAAAGUGCGUCGUAGUCCGGAUUGGAGUCUGCAACUCGACUCCAUGAAGUCGGAAUCGCUAGUAAUCGUGGAUCAGAAUGCCACGGUGAAUACGUUCCCGGGCCUUGUACACACCGCCCGUCACACCAUGGGAGUGGGUUGCAAAAGAAGUAGGUAGCUUAACCUUCGGGAGGGCGCUUACCACUUUGUGAUUCAUGACUGGGGUGAAGUCGUAACAAGGUAACCGUAGGGGAACCUGCGGUUGGAUCACCU
RNAcentral lists this ribosomal RNA (1530 nucleotides) under Salmonella sp. Its description in RNAcentral is "bacterial SSU rRNA". It matches the Rfam family "Bacterial small subunit ribosomal RNA". Lineage: Bacteria; Pseudomonadati; Pseudomonadota; Gammaproteobacteria; Enterobacterales; Enterobacteriaceae. The record is from RNAcentral. RNAcentral also lists the same sequence under 2 other names.